CCUACGGUAGGCAGCAGUGGGGAAUAUUGCACAAUGGGGGAAACCCUGAUGCAGCGACGCCGCGUGAGUGAAGAAGUAUUUCGGUAUGUAAAGCUCUAUCAGCAGGGAAGAAAAUGACGGUACCUGAUUAAGAAGCCCCGGCUAACUACGUGCCAGCAGCCGCGGGAAUACGUAGGGGGCAAGCGUUAUCCGGAUUUACUGGGUGUAAAGGGAGCGUAGACGGCAGAACAAGUCUGGAGGUAAAUGCCGGGGCUUAACCCCGGAACUGCUUUGGAAACUGGGCAGCUAGAGGUCAGGAGAGGUAAGUGGAAUUCCUAGUGUAGCGGGUAAAUGCGUAGAUAUUAGGAGGAACCCCAGUGGCGAAGGCGGCUUACUGGACUGUAACUGACGUUGAGGCUCGAAAGCGUGGGGAGCAAACAGGAUUAGAUACCCCAGUAGUC
Molecule: ribosomal RNA, 440 nt
Filed under: uncultured bacterium
Lineage: Bacteria
Description: partial 16S ribosomal RNA
Rfam family: Bacterial small subunit ribosomal RNA
Source: RNAcentral